Molecule: RNA transcript, 1373 nt
Organism: Syngnathoides biaculeatus (alligator pipefish)
Lineage: Eukaryota; Metazoa; Chordata; Actinopteri; Syngnathiformes; Syngnathidae
Gene name: cationic amino acid transporter 2-like
Exons: 8
Source: RefSeq, a predicted model, not a curated record
GCUACACCCCCACCCCUCACCCAGAAAUUGCACAUAUGUCUGAAAUGUAACAUAAUGCAUCAAAAAAUGUGGCGCUAUGGAGAGUUAACAGUGAACAGACUGAGAUAUUCUCACAAGUGGAGUGGUUUGAAACGCUUCGAAAGUCACACACAUCCUGCAAAGUGCUUCACUAGGAUGCCUGGUGCAAAGAUCCUGCUCUUCCUUCAGAGCCUGAAAUGCAGGAAACCUCUGGAGCCCGCAGGAGAGGUGUCUAACUUCCGCCGUUGCCUGACAACCAUUGACCUUGUGGCUUUGGGGGUGGGCAGCACAUUAGGCGCCGGCGUGUAUGCGCUCUCCGGAGAAGUGGCCAGAACUGUGGCCGGACCCAGUAUCAUCAUCUCCUUCUUGAUAGCAGCCAUAGCCUCAGUCUUUGCAGGCUUGUGCUAUGCUGAAUUUGGUGCUCGGGUUCCCAAGACAGGUUCUGCCUACCUCUACAGCUACGUAACAGUGGGAGAGAUCUGGGCUUUUAUCACUGGCUGGAACCUUCUGCUCUCUUAUGUCAUAGGGACAUCAAGCGUGGCCAGAGCUUGGAGUGGAACCUUUGAUGACCUCAUUGGAAAUGUCAUUGCCAAUUCUUUGGGAAAACAAGCUCCCAUGGACCUGCCAGGAUUAGCUCCCUACCCAGACUUCUUUGCAGCUGGCCUUAUCAUGCUCUUGGCAGGUAUUCUUGCAUUCGGUGUUAAAGAGUCUGCCAUCGUGAACAAAGUUUUUACGGCAGUUAACAUCGUAGUCUUGCUCUUUGUUAUCCUCUCUGGCUUCAUAAAGGGAGAUCUCAACAACUGGUACAGUGGUGAAGAAACUCUUCAGAAUUCACAUGAAAACACAUCAUUGCUCAAUGAAACCAUGACUUUUGGAACCGGGGGGUUUUUCCCUUUUGGCUUUGGUGGAACAAUAGCAGGAGCGGCUACUUGCUUUUACGCAUUUGUCGGCUUUGACUGCAUUGCCACAACAGGAGAGGAGGUUCAGAAUCCCUAGAAGUCAUUCCCACUCGGGAUUGAGGUGUGCUGUAGGUGUGACAGAGGAAUUUCAGGUAAAUGGCAUUUUCUUUGUCCUCGACCUGUGCGUCACCUUUUGACGAAGGAGAGGACAUGGCUGUCUUUGAGUCCACUGCAGCAGACUAUGGAGGAUUGGGCAUGUCACGUCUGCCCGAGCUCUCUGUCAUUUCACCGGGCCUGGACCCUCAGAUAUCCAAUAUGGGGCUUAUUCUGCACUUGGAUGGAUGUGGAGGACACGGAUGGAGAAAAUGCUGUGGCUGAAGUGGUUAAGAGGGAGAGAGAGAGAGAGAGAGAGAGAGACACAGAGACAGAGAGAGAAAAAAGUAAGAUUAAAGAAAU